Long non-coding RNA from Pipistrellus kuhlii (Kuhl's pipistrelle), 1162 nucleotides. RefSeq lists it as uncharacterized. The transcript has 2 exons. Lineage: Eukaryota; Metazoa; Chordata; Mammalia; Chiroptera; Vespertilionidae. The record is from RefSeq and is a predicted model, not a curated record.
GCCUGCUCACACCCAGCCAGGGGCGUCUCCGCUAGAGCGGGGAAGGUGACUUCCGCCAACACACCUGGUGGGGCACCAUCUUAUUUAUUUCCUUUCUUUACUUGUCCUUUGUUCCACAAAGGAUUUAAAGCAGUGUUUGGCAAAGAACUUGAUGACUGACAGAGGAGAUAAAAAUAUUUUAUUUACUGGGUGUUCCCUUUUUAAAAUAAGAAGCAGUGGAGUUUUGACGCUAUUUUUAAAUAGCCAGAAAGCCCAUUGGAGAAUGGACUGAGCGGUGUCGUUUUAAGUGGUGGGGGGAAAAAACGAUCAGAAUCUCCUCCUGGGCUGCGGCUCCUCAGAAGUCGUACACCGAGUUCCUCUGGACAGCUGGCAGGCCCUGGGCGAGGCCCUGAUCCGGCCAGCGGGAGGGGCCUGGUCUGCUUUCACCAAAUACGGUUGCAGGUUAAGGCUGCCCUCCGUGCCACUGCUGGAGGCACUACGUGGGAAAGAACCAAGAGUGGUUUUUUCAUCAGGACUUCCUGGUGGUCCGUGCGCAUUCACAAUGCACAUGAAGUACGAGUUUACAGUGCAGACGUGACGGCCGUUUCGGCCAAAGAAAGACCCGGGAGGCCUCCUGGGUUGAAUGAUUAUUGCAGAAGGGUGAAGGGCAUCUUAAAUGAAACCCACAGGACACAUCUGUGAACUUUUCAGCUCACCCACUUGAUUUUGCACAUCUGAGCAGCUUGUCAACUGACACCUCACUUCAGAUUUUACAGCUUCUUCUGCUGUUUACAGACUCCUGUGUGAGCCACGCCUGUGGUGUGUGCCUGCAGGGGAGGGGUGGCACCCAGAGGAGACUCCCAUGAUGAAGAAUCAGAGUAUUUUAGACGCUCCAUCCGAAAUGUCACUGUUUAGAAUUUUACGAAUUCGGCACCACUUCCUUAUUUUUUAUUUUUUAUUUUUAAACAAGGGCAUCUUUGCCAUUUGAGUUACAAUCGUUUCAUUAUUGAAUUAUGGAUUAACCCGCAGCUCAACAUCGUUCUUUGUUUUAUUCUCUUUUUAUACAAAUUCUAAAAUGGAUUCAUUAGAAGAAGAAAAAAAAUACCAAAUAUAGUUUGUUGUAUUCUCUUUUGAAUUUUUACUAACUUUUAUCCAGCUGGAAAUAAUAUCAAUAAAAGAAAAU